GCCGGGAUGCUGGAAUGGUAGACAGGCACGCUUGAGGUGCGUGUGCCAGAAAUGGUGUGGAGGUUCGACUCCUCUUCUCGGCA
Molecule: transfer RNA, 83 nt
Filed under: Candidatus Daviesbacteria bacterium
Lineage: Bacteria; Candidatus Daviesiibacteriota
Description: tRNA-Leu
Rfam family: tRNA
About the family: Transfer RNA (tRNA) molecules are approximately 80 nucleotides in length. Their secondary structure includes four short double-helical elements and three loops (D, anti-codon, and T loops). Further hydrogen bonds mediate the characteristic L-shaped molecular structure. tRNAs have two regions of fundamental functional importance: the anti-codon, which is responsible for specific mRNA codon recognition, and the 3' end, to which the tRNAs corresponding amino acid is attached (by aminoacyl-tRNA synthetases). tRNAs cope with the degeneracy of the genetic code in two manners: having more than one tRNA (with a specific anti-codon) for a particular amino acid; and 'wobble' base-pairing, i.e. permitting non-standard base-pairing at the 3rd anti-codon position.
Source: RNAcentral